UGGGGAAUUUUGGACAAUGGGCGAAAGCCUGAUCCAGCAAUGCCGCGUGUGUGAAGAAGGCCUUCGGGUUGUAAAGCACUUUUGUCCGGAAAGAAAUCCUUGGCUCUAAUACAGUCGGGGGAUGACGGUACCGGAAGAAUAAGCACCGGUUAACUACGUGCCAGCAGCCGCGGUAAUACGUAGGGUGCAAGCGUUAAUCGGAAUUACUGGGCGUAAAGCGUGCGCAGGCGGUUUGCUAAGACCGAUGUGAAAUCCCCGGGCUCAACCUGGGAACUGCAUUGGUGACUGGCAGGCUAGAGUAUGGCAGAGGGGGGUAGAAUUCCACGUGUAGCAGUGAAAUGCGUAGAGAUGUGGAGGAAUACCGAUGGCGAAGGCAGCCCCCCUGGGCCAAAUACUGACGCUCAUGCACGAAAGCGUGGGGAGCAAACAGGAUUAGAUACCCCUGGUAGUCCACGCCCUAAACGAUGUCAACUAGUUGUUGGGGAUCAUUUCCUUAGUAACGUAGCUAACGCGUGAAGUUGACCGCCUGGGGAGUACGGUCGCAAGAUUAAAACUCAAAUGAAUUGAC
This 568-nucleotide ribosomal RNA is filed under the name uncultured bacterium. RNAcentral describes it as "partial 16S ribosomal RNA". It matches the Rfam family "Bacterial small subunit ribosomal RNA", at positions 355 to 914 of the family's 1533-position model. The record is from RNAcentral.